Molecule: ribosomal RNA, 253 nt
Filed under: uncultured bacterium
Lineage: Bacteria
Description: partial 16S ribosomal RNA
Rfam family: Bacterial small subunit ribosomal RNA
Source: RNAcentral
UACGUAGGGGGCUAGCGUUGUCCGGAAUCAUUGGGCGUAAAGCGCGUGUAGGCGGUCCGGUAAGUCCGCUGUGAAAGUCGGGGGCUCAACCCUCGAAUGCCGGUGGAUACUGUCGGGCUAGAGUGCGGAAGAGGCGAGUGGAAUUCCUGGUGUAGCGGUGAAAUGCGCAGAUAUCAGGAGGAACACCUAUUGCGAAGGCAGCUCGCUGGGACGUAACUGACGCUGAGACGCGAAAGCGUGGGGGGCAAACAGG